This 429-nucleotide ribosomal RNA is filed under the name Chloroflexota bacterium. Its description in RNAcentral is "Chloroflexi bacterium partial 16S ribosomal RNA". It matches the Rfam family "Bacterial small subunit ribosomal RNA", at positions 355 to 776 of the family's 1533-position model. The record is from RNAcentral. Lineage: Bacteria; Bacillati; Chloroflexota.
UGGGGAAUAUUGCACAAUGGGCGCAAGCCUGAUGCAGCCAUGCCGCGUGUGUGAAGAAGGCCUUCGGGUUGUAAAGCACUUUCAGCGGGGAGGAAGGCGGUGAGGUUAAUAACCUCACCGAUUGACGUUACCCGCAGAAGAAGCACCGGCUAACUCCGUGCCAGCAGCCGCGGUAAUACGGAGGGUGCAAGCGUUAAUCGGAAUUACUGGGCGUAAAGCGCACGCAGGCGGUUGAUUGAGUCAGAUGUGAAAUCCCCGGGCUUAACCCGGGAAUUGCAUCUGAUACUGGUCAGCUAGAGUCUUGUAGAGGGGGGUAGAAUUCCAUGUGUAGCGGUGAAAUGCGUAGAGAUCUGGAGGAAUACCGGUGGCGAAUGCGGCCCCCUGGACGAAGACUGACGCUCAGGUGCGAAAGCGUGGGGAGCAAACAGG